Vespula vulgaris is the source of this 2000-nucleotide long non-coding RNA. RefSeq lists it as uncharacterized. Lineage: Eukaryota; Metazoa; Arthropoda; Insecta; Hymenoptera; Vespidae. The transcript has 2 exons. The record is from RefSeq and is a predicted model, not a curated record.
CUUAAUCAAUGGAAAAAUUCUCAACACCAAAAAAAUCAAAUACAUUACAAUACUAUUUAAUACAAUUAUGAGAUUGGAAUAUUUCCCACUACAAUGGAAAUUUGCUAAAAUUAUUUUGCUGCUUAAACCAGGUAAAAACAUAACAUAAUAAAGCAAGUCUACAAAUUAGUGCACUUAAUAACAGGAACAUACAAGAGAAAAGGAUGCUGCAACUGCAUUUCCCUAGAUAUCAAGAAAGUAUUUGACAAGAUAUCGUAUUACGAUUUAAGAGAAAACUUCAGGAGAAGAUUACCAAUUGCACAGCUAUAUAAAUAACAGAUUCUUUAAUAUAAAAAUAGGCAAUGAAACCUCAAGCAUAAAAGAAUACAAAGUAGGAAUACCAUAAGGGAGCAUACUAAGACCGAUACUAUUCUUUAUAUAUACGUCCCUCCAUAAAACUAAGGAACUCGGUGUUAGUAUAUGUAGAUGACAACGCAAUCUACAACAUUGGCAACAAUUCCAGUUCAGUACAAAAAUUAAUCUAUUAAUUAAUCUAUAAACUAAAUCUAUUACACACAUGGAUGAUAAAAAAGAAAAUAACGAUCAACCUACAAAAAAGCACAAAUAUAUGUUUUACACUAAAUCGCCAAAAACAAAAAUCGGUAUACAUGAACAAACAAUUAUAACCCAAACAAAAUAUCAAAGAUAAAAUAUCUAGAAAUCGUAUUAGAUAAAAAACUAACAUGGAACCCUUAUAUAAAAUAUAUGAUAAAAAAAAUAACAAUAGCUAUAAAACAGUUAUACUGGUUAGUUAAAAGGAACUUGAAGCUAAAAUUAAAAAACAUAACGAUAAUAUAUACAACAAUGAUCCAUUACGGGUAUAUGGAAUAAACCUCUGGAGUACAGCUACUAAAAGUAACUUAAAGAAAAUCAAAACAACUCAAUCAAAACUACUCAGAAUGAUUCUCUACACUCCACAAUAUGUGAGAAAUGACAGCAUAGAAGAAACAUUAGAAGUCACACCAGUAAAAGAAACAAUAAAAAUCAAUAACGAAAGACACUAGAAAAGGAUCAGCACCCAUGAAAAUCCAAUGAGGAAAGACUGUAUGCUACCAAUACCAAGAAGAUCACAUAGAAUAAAUACACCUAUUGGACAACUACUCAGUACUCCUAUUAGAGUAUUGGUGAAAGUGAGAAAUGAACAAAUAUUAAAAGUUGAAUGAAAGGAGUGAAUGAAUAAAAAAAUGAAUGUUAGAAGUCGAAUGAAGGGAGCAAAUAAAUGAAUGUUUGACCGAAACAAAAUACACAUUAUGUAAGAAGCCCACAUCUAGUAAGAUUAGUACAUGAAUAAAGGAGAUAAAAAAAAGUUUGGUGAAAAUGUUAAAAAAAAUCAUAACGAUGGUGGUACGAAGUAUGUAAACAAAGAUAUACAUACGUUCCUAGGCAAUCUCGGAAUUAAACAUUCACUAGACGCCGGAGUAGAAUGAGAUGCGAAAGUCUUACCAUUGUAGAAGCGACGUAUUUGAUGAUACACGCAAAGCUAGAACUUGCAGAAUUUUUAUGGACCGAAGCAAUGAAUAUUGCGAUAUAUUUUAUUAAUAGGACUGGGCCAACAUACUGGUAAGACACCUUAUAUCGUUCAAAAAUAAAAGUAAAAUCAAUCGUGUAAAGGUAUUUUUUGGUACUGAAUGUUUCAUGCACAUUCCAAAACAAAAAAGGCAGAAAUUAAACAAAAAAGCAUAUAAAGGCUAUUUAAUUCAAUAACUAGAUGUGCAAAAUUAUCGAAUCUAUGUUCCAGAGCUGAGAUGUCAUAUUAAGUCAUUAUGUUUCAUUCAAUCUCGAAAAAUUAUGUAGUUAAUAAAAGUGUAAAUAAUGAUUGAACAGUAGGUAAAAUUGUUUAUGUAAGAGAAGAAAAAUAGUCAAACAUAGAAAAAAAGGAGACAACUUCGUUGGAGCGAAAUUAAAAAGCUAGAAUAUUUCAAAUAUUAACGAGUGCCUUUGAGAUAAUUUUGUGUAGCCUU